AAUGAACGCUGGCGGCAGGCCUAACACAUGCAAGUCGAACGGAUCCUUCGGGAUUAGUGGCGGACGGGUGAGUAACGCGUGGGAACAUACCCAAAGGUACGGAAUAGCCUCGGGAAACUGGGAGUAAUACCGUAUGUGCUCAAAGAGGAAAGAUUUAUCGCCUUUGGAUUGGCCCGCGUUGGAUUAGGUAGUUGGUGGGGUAGUGGCCUACCAAGCCGACGAUCCAUAGCUGGUUUGAGAGGAUGAUCAGCCACACUGGGACUGAGACACGGCCCAGACUCCUACGGGAGGCAGCAGUGGGGAAUCUUAGACAAUGGGGGAAACCCUGAUCUAGCCAUGCCGCGUGAUCGAUGAAGGCCUUAGGGUUGUAAAGAUCUUUCAGGUGGGAAGAUAAUGACUGUACCACCAGAAGAAGCCCCGGCUAACUCCGUGCCAGCCGCCGCGGUAA
RNAcentral lists this ribosomal RNA (448 nucleotides) under uncultured bacterium. Its description in RNAcentral is "partial 16S ribosomal RNA". It matches the Rfam family "Bacterial small subunit ribosomal RNA", at positions 29 to 523 of the family's 1533-position model. The record is from RNAcentral.